CUACGGGAGGCAGCAGCUAAGAAUCUUGCGCAAUGGGCGAAAGCCUGACGCAGCAAUUCCGCGUGGGGGACGAAGGCCCUCGGGUCGUAAACCCCUUUUGCGAGGGAAGAAGUUCUGACGGUACCUCGCGAAUAAGACACGGCUAACUACGUGCCAGCAGCCGCGGUAAUACGUAGGUGUCGAGCGUUGUCCGGAUUUAUUGGGCGUAAAGAGCCCGCAGGCGGCUUGCCAAGUUCGAGGUGAAAUCUCCCGGCUCAACCGGGAGGGUGCCUUGAAAACUGGCAGGCUUGAGGCAGGGAGAGGGAUGUGGAAUUCCCGGUGUAGUGGUGAAAUGCGUAGAUAUCGGGAGGAACACCAGUGGCGAAGGCGGCAUCCUGGCCCUGUCCUGACGCUCAGGGGCGAAAGCGUGGGGAGCAAACAGGAUUAGAUACCCGUGUAGUCC
This 442-nucleotide ribosomal RNA is filed under the name uncultured bacterium. RNAcentral's name for it is "bacterial SSU rRNA". It matches the Rfam family "Bacterial small subunit ribosomal RNA", at positions 339 to 796 of the family's 1533-position model. The record is from RNAcentral.